Molecule: ribosomal RNA, 446 nt
Filed under: uncultured bacterium
Lineage: Bacteria
Description: partial 16S ribosomal RNA
Rfam family: Bacterial small subunit ribosomal RNA
Source: RNAcentral
CCUACGGGGGGCUGCAGUCGAGAAUCAUUCACAAUGGGGGAAACCCUGAUGGUGCGACGCCGCGUGGGGGAAUGAAGUUCUUCGGAUUGUAAACCCCUGUCAUGUGGGAGCAAAUUAAAACGAUCGUACCACACGAGGAAGAGACGGCUAACUCUGUGCCAGCAGCCGCGGUAAUACAGAGGUCUCAAGCGUUGUUCGGAAUCACUGGGCGUAAAGCGUGCGUAGGCUGUUUCGUAAGUCGUGUGUGAAAGGCGCGGGCUCAACCCGCGGACGGCACAUGAUACUGCGAGACUAGAGUAAUGGAGGGGGAACCGGAAUUCUCGGUGUAGCAGUGAAAUGCGUAGAUAUCGAGAGGAACACUCGUGGCGAAGGCGGGUUCCUGGACAGUAACUGACGCUGAGGCACGAAGGCCAGGGGAGCGAAAGGGAUUAGAUACCCUAGUAGUC